This 582-nucleotide long non-coding RNA is filed under the name Volvox carteri. Its description in RNAcentral is "long non-coding RNA (VCAR_LNC000704)". Lineage: Eukaryota; Viridiplantae; Chlorophyta; Chlorophyceae; Chlamydomonadales; Volvocaceae. The record is from RNAcentral.
CCAGAGUUAACCACAUUCGUCUGUAAGUUCUUAACUCCCGGCAUCUUGGUGUUCACCGCCGUCGCGACCGUCUCACGAAUAGCCUCCGUUGCCGCAAGCGCCCCAGGUAGGAGUUCAAGCUGCUCCUCACCACCAGGCGUCAAAAAGCGUGAAAGGGUAAGUAGAUGCUGCUCCACGUUUACGGCAUUCGUGGUCAAAGCAUCCACAACAACACGUGCUCGAGUGCUACGGAAAAUUCCAUUGCUGCCAGUUGUAGCCGGCGCAUUCGGGCCUGUGCCGGGUGCACUGAGAGCUUGCGGUGUCAAAGCCACAGCACGACCACGACGUCUGGGUAAAUAAAUUACGGGGGCGUUUGGAACAGGCGCCCAGGCAGUUGCCUGACGUCCCUGCUGGGCUAAUUGCCCAAGCAUCUUCCCUAACGCACAACCAGGAAACGCUGUCAAUAUCCUGUUUAGCGGCACCCUGAUGUAACAAUAAGUAUUAAUAUUUAGCUUAAGCGGUUAUCGUGAAGGUGGCCGAAACGCGUUGGAACAAAACAGCAGUACAGUACGUAUCAGAAUUGUAACCUAAGGUAGACUUGCA